Non-coding RNA from Cinara cedri, 413 nucleotides. The record is from the annotation of a GenBank genome assembly. NCBI's taxonomy places the organism in Eukaryota, Metazoa, Arthropoda, Insecta, Hemiptera, Aphididae.
AACCAAUGACUUGUUGAGGACCGAUUGAAAGUUGUACACUUCUAAUAAUAUUUAAAUAUAUUCGUCCAGUCUUUUAAUAUUAGAUACGUUAUAAUAAUUCGAUAAUGGCACCCUUAUGUAAAAGAAUAUUUCGUAAAAAAACCAAAAAAUAAACGACCAAAAUCGAGCAAAAUUCUCUAUGAGUUUUAUAAACAUGUUCUCCCAAAGAGUUUUUGAUAAGUCGAAAUAACGGCUUGGAUACGUGUAUGUUUAUAAUAAGGUAUAGAUGGUUUGCAAUAUUUACUUAAAUACAGAAAUGUCAAAGAAAAUAUUUUUUCGAUUACGUUCGAUAUCUACAGUCUAACCCAUACCUACCUAUUUAAAAUACGGUAUGUCGACGAUUGGAAUAAAAAUAAAAACAUUUAUUAAAUUUU